GAAAAUAUCAGUUUUGAGCCAUUUGAGCAUAUCCCCAAGUGGAAGACAUAUCUCUUUGGUCUGCUACCUACAAAGCUGGACAAAGGUGAUAUUUGUGAGUGGUGUGCCGACCCAGCAAGGUAGUAGUGCAUGGGAGCCACGUCUUUGAGUCCCUGUUACGCUGGCACUCUCAGAGUUCCUCUCCACCACACAUGAGCAAGUACAGUGAACUUUAUCUUGGUCCCUAUCCUCUACUUAAGUGUUGAUCCAGUGAAGCCUUGUGGUCCUCGAGUUCUAGCUUGCUUCUUUGGUGUCUCUAUGGACUAUGUUGCAAGCCAAAGCUCCUCUCCCCAGCCGCUAAGUCUGCCUAGUCCUAGAGUUUGCAUGUGAUGGUCUACCAGUGGUGACCGUAGCACCAGAUUUGCCCACCUCGCCUUGGCCAGAUCAACGCAAACAGGUGUUUGUCCGGGUUGUGCCUGUUCUAUACUCUCCAUUCACCAGUGAAACACACAGUGUUGUUAUUUCCAAUUCUACUACUUUGUGGUGCCUGGAACAUGACCGAGCCACCGCGUACCGGAGCCGUGGGCAGCUUCACCAAGGACCGAACAACCUGUGUUUUCUCCAAGCAACUUCACGCGAGCAUAGGAAUCUUGGAUGGUGAUAAGAAGUACUCGAGGUGUUCCUGAGGCUGGAGGGUGUUUCUAGUUCUAGAGUAGGAUUAGUUAGGCUUGUGUAUAAGCUUUGGAGGGUUCCUACCUUCCUGCUAUUGUAAUAAGUUUUGCACUUUGAGUAUAUCAGGACUUGUAAUAAAUGUAACUCUUUCUAUGUAAUAAACUUCAGUUUUAGAAAUAAAAAUAAUGUUUUAUAAA
Zea mays is the source of this 848-nucleotide long non-coding RNA. RefSeq lists it as uncharacterized. Lineage: Eukaryota; Viridiplantae; Streptophyta; Magnoliopsida; Poales; Poaceae. The transcript is spliced from 2 exons. The record is from RefSeq and is a predicted model, not a curated record.